This 408-nucleotide ribosomal RNA is filed under the name uncultured bacterium. RNAcentral's name for it is "partial 16S ribosomal RNA". It matches the Rfam family "Bacterial small subunit ribosomal RNA", at positions 28 to 526 of the family's 1533-position model. The record is from RNAcentral.
GACGAACGCUGGCGGCGUGCUUAACACAUGCAAGUCGAACGAAGUGGCGAACGGGUGAGUAAUACGUGGGUAACCUGCCCUCCUUUUUGGGAUAAGCCUUGGAAACGGGGUCUAAUACCGAAUAAAGGGGGAUGGGCUCGCGGCCUAUCAGCUUGUUGGUGGGGUGAUGGCCUACCAAGGCGGUGACGGGUAGGCGGACUGAGAGGGUGACCGGCUAGAUUGUGACUGAGGUACGGCCCAGACACCUACGGGAGGCAGAAGUUGUGGAUAGUGCACAAUGGGCGAGAGCCUGAUGCAGCGACGCCGCGUGGGGGAUGAAGGCUUUCGGGUUGGAAACCUCUUACGAAAUCGAACGGGUAGCUGGAGAAGAAGCGACGGCUAACUACGUGCCAGCAGCCGCGGUAAUAC